RNAcentral lists this ribosomal RNA (734 nucleotides) under Helix pomatia (Roman snail). RNAcentral's name for it is "partial 16S ribosomal RNA". The record is from RNAcentral. Lineage: Eukaryota; Metazoa; Mollusca; Gastropoda; Stylommatophora; Helicidae.
AGCACGUAUUAAAUGCGCGUUUAGGGGUGAUAGGCUUUUCAAACGUUCGUAUAACUUGUUUCAUAUGAAAAGUAUUUAGUACCUAAACAAAUUUGAAAAGUUAAGCUUUUAAAUUAUUAUUAAAGAUAUUAUUCCCUUGUAGUGUAGUUUAAUAGCUAUCUACAUAGUAACUUAACAUUAAUUAUGUUAGUUUAUAUAUUAUAGUAUGACGCUAGCAAUUUUGUUAAUAAAUUGAAAAUGUUAGUAUUAGUAAUAUUAGUAUAUGUGCUAAAGGAACUCGGCAAAAAACCGCUCAACUGUUUAUCAAAAACAUAGCUAUAUGAAUUAGUAUAUAGUUGUUUCUGCUCAAUGACUUAAAUAGCCGCAGUACUCUGACUGUGCAAAGGUAGCAUAAUCAGUUGGCUUUUAAUUAGAGUCUGGUAUGAACGAAAAUAUGGGUAGUAACUGUCUUAGCACAUUUCUUUGAACUUGUUAAACAAGUGCAAAUACUUGUAAUUAAACAAUAGACGAGAAGACCCUAGAAACUUGGACAUGUUUUUGUUGGGGCGACAGAAUUACAUUUAACUAAUCUUCUAAUACAUGACGCGAUGCUGGAAGAAUAAGUUACUCUAGGGAUAACAGCAUAAUUUCAUUAGUUUGUGACCUCGAUGUUGGACUAGGUACUAUACCCUUAAGGCAAGGAUAUAUUGUGCUCUGUUCGAGCAAAAUUACCUACAUGAUCUGAGUUCAGACCG